This 752-nucleotide ribosomal RNA is filed under the name uncultured archaeon. RNAcentral describes it as "bacterial SSU rRNA". It matches the Rfam family "Archaeal small subunit ribosomal RNA", at positions 102 to 859 of the family's 1478-position model. The record is from RNAcentral.
GGAUAACCUGCCCUAAGGAAGGGGAUAACCUCGGGAAACUGAGGAUAAUACCCUAUAGGUUACAGACGCUGGAAUGCCCUGUAACCGAAAGUUCCGGCGCCUUAGGAUGGAUCUGCGGCCGAUUAGGUUGUUGUUGGGGUAACGGCCCAACAAGCCGAUAAUCGGUACGGGUUGUGGGAGCAAGAGCCCGGAGUUGGAUUCUGAGACAUGAAUCCAGGCCCUACGGGGCGCAGCAGGCGCGAAAACUUUACAAUGCGGGAAACCGUGAUAAGGGAACCCCGAGUGCCUGUAUAUGCAGGCUGUCCAGGUGUCUAAAAAACACCUGAAGAAAGGGCCGGGCAAGACCGGUGCCAGCCGCCGCGGUAAUACCGGCGGCUCGAGUGGUGGCCACUUUUAUUGGGCUUAAAGCGUUCGUAGCUGGGUUGUUAAGUCUCUUGGGAAAUCUGACGGCUCAACCGUCAGGCGUCCAAGGGAUACUGGCAAUCUUGGAACCGGGAGAGGUGAGGGGUACUUCGGGGGUAGGAGUGAAAUCCUGUAAUCCUCGAGGGACCACCUGUGGCGAAGGCGCCUCACCAGAACGGCUUCGACAGUGAGGGACGAAAGCUGGGGGAGCAAACCGGAUUAGAUACCCGGGUAGUCCCAGCCGUAAACGAUGCGCGUUAGGUGUAUCGGUGACCACGAGUCACCGAGGUGCCGAAGGGAAACCGUGAAACGUGCCGCCUGGGAAGUACGGUCGCAAGGCUGAAACUUAA